CCGAGUGCGGGCCCUCUGGGUCCAACCUCCCACCCGUGUCUAUUGUACCUUGUUGCUUCGGCGGGCCCGCCGUUCUCGAACGGCCGCCGGGGAGGCCUCGCGCCCCCGGGCCCGCGCCCGCCGAAGACCCCAACAUGGACGCUGUUCUGGAAGUAUGCAGUCUGAGUUUGAUUACCAUAAUCAGUUA
Molecule: unclassified non-coding RNA, 187 nt
Filed under: uncultured Neosartorya
Lineage: Eukaryota; Fungi; Ascomycota; Eurotiomycetes; Eurotiales; Aspergillaceae
Description: sequence contains ITS1
Source: RNAcentral